GGAUCCAGACUUUGAUCAUGGCUCAUGAUGAACGCUGGCGGCGCAUUUAAGACGUGCAAGUCGAACGAAAAUUUACGCUUAAAGAGUUGAUUAGUUUACUAAGAGAUGAUUUAUUGUAAAUUUUAGUGGCGGACUGGUGAGUAAUACAUAGGUAAUCUGCCUUUUAGAGGGGAAUAACUAGGAGAAAUCCUAGCUAAUACCGCGUAAGACCACACUUAGGCAUCUAAGAGAGGUCAAAGGAGUAAUCCGCUAAAAGAUGAGCCUGUGGCUGAUUAGUUAGUUGGUGGGGUAAGAGCCUACCAAGACGAUGAUCAGUAGCCGAGCUGAGAGGCUGGCCGGCCACAUUGGGACUGAGAUACGGCCCAGACUCCUACGGGAGGCAGCAGUUGGGAAUAUUGGACAAUGGAGGAAACUCUGAUCCAGUGACGCCGCGUGAAGGAAGAAGGUCUUCGGAUUGUAAACUUAUUUUAUCAGGGAAGAAGAAAGUGACAGUACCUGAAGAAAAAGGACCGGCAAACUACGUGCCAGCAGCCGCGGUAAUACGUAGGGUCCAAGCGCUAUCCGGAUUUACUGGGUGUAAAGGGCGAGUAGACGGCGCUGUAAGUCAGCUGUGAAAACUUAGGGCUCAACCUUAAGCCUGCAGCUGAAACUGUAGUGCUAGAGUGCAGGAGAGGUAAGCGGAAUUCCUAGUGUAGCGGUGAAAUGCGUAGAUAUUAGGAGGAACACCAGUGGCGAAGGCGGCUUACUGGACUGUAACUGACGUUGAGGCGCGAAAGUGUGGGGAGCAAACAGGAUUAGAUACCCUGGUAGUCCACACCGUAAACGAUGGAUACUAGGUGUAGGCGAGAUAUCGUCUGUGCCGGCGCAAACGCAAUAAGUAUCCCACCUGGGGAGUACGGCCGCAAGGUUGCAACUCAAAUGAAUUGACGG
Molecule: ribosomal RNA, 930 nt
Filed under: uncultured Bacillota bacterium
Lineage: Bacteria; Bacillati; Bacillota
Description: bacterial SSU rRNA
Rfam family: Bacterial small subunit ribosomal RNA
Source: RNAcentral